Molecule: ribosomal RNA, 223 nt
Filed under: uncultured eukaryote
Lineage: Eukaryota
Description: partial 18S ribosomal RNA
Rfam family: Eukaryotic small subunit ribosomal RNA
Source: RNAcentral
GGAAAACUUACCAGGAUAAGACAUAAGAAGGAUUGACAGACUGAUUGCUCUUUCUUGAUUUUAUGGGUGGUGGUGCAUGGCCGUUCUUAGUUCGUGGAGUAAUUUGUCUGGUUAAUUCCGUUAACGAACGAGACCUUAACUUGCUAAUUGAGAUGUGUAUUUAAUAUAUAUUCUCACUUAGAAGGACUAUGUCUUCAUAAGACAAGGAAGCGUGAGGCAAUAA